ACAUAAAUAACAUGAAUAUCCAAAACUAUACUUCUAUACAUACAUUAGAAUACAUUAACAUUCACAUAUUGCUACAUUAUGAUAUAUACAAACACAUACAAAUACACUUAUAGUCAAUGUGCGUGCGUUUGCGAGCAGUCAAAAACAACAAAGACUAAGAGACUGUUCGCUCAUUCGUUACAGAGUUUCAGAUUCACAGUUCACAUUUCUUUGCUUUUCAACGUCUUUUCUCCAUCAAUUCGAAGCUACCAGUUAUCAAGACUAUUGCCAUAAUUCCAGAGCUAGUUUGAAAAAAUUCUGCCUCAGUGAAUAGGGAAAAAACGCCUUCUUUGAGGUGAUGACUUAUGUUGCCUUUAGAAACGGUCAUGAAGAUUUAGAGCGUUCGAAGCCUUGAGAUGCUCGGAGGACUGAACCCACUGCCCUCUUCGUCCUCUCCGGCUUCCAGUCAGUGCGUCGCAGCUCAACGGCGGACGGUGGUGUUAUAAGGGCGCCCCAGCUCACACUGCUUUAGAAGAUAGAGGAUGAGAGGAGCUCGCUUAUGAAAUUCCGGUCUGGAUUUAGCAGCUUGCUCUGCACCAUAUGGGACCUCUUAAAACGUCCCCUUCUCAGCAGUACUGAAGAGGAUGAUGAAACGGUCUGUCUCAGAUGGCCUUAAAAACAGGCUCAAGGCUCACCAAAUGAUCAGUUCAGAGUUUUUCAGGUUAUGAGAGUGACAGACUCCAGCAGGGAGGAUAGUGUGGCCCAUUGGUGUAGAUGAUACUACUGGCAACACUCCUCCAGCAGCCUCUUUCUUGUCUGCUACAACCACGUUACUGUUCUCGUAAGCUGGAAAAUAUGGAAGAAGUCAUUACUUACGCUGGAAAAUAGAAAAUAUAUAUUAUGGAAGUAAGUUCCUGAGUUCCACCUGCCCCAUGGUAUCUUGCCUGCUGUUGUCCAUCGUCCUUCAUAGCUCAUAGCCCCCCCAAAAUUCCAGAGGCCUUGUAAUGCAUACAAUUAAAAAAUAUUUAUAAUA
Long non-coding RNA from Portunus trituberculatus (swimming crab), 1012 nucleotides. RefSeq lists it as uncharacterized. NCBI's taxonomy places the organism in Eukaryota, Metazoa, Arthropoda, Malacostraca, Decapoda, Portunidae. The transcript has 3 exons. The record is from RefSeq and is a predicted model, not a curated record.